GAUGAACGCUGGCGGCGUGCCUAAUACAUGCAAGUCGAGCGAACGGACGAGAAGCUUGCUUCUCUGAUGUUAGCGGCGGACGGGUGAGUAACACGUGGAUAACCUACCUAUAAGACUGGGAUAACUUCGGGAAACCGUAGCUAAUACCGGAUAAUAUUUUGAACCGCAUGGUUCAAAAGUGAAAGACGGUCUUGCUGUCACUUAUAGAUGGAUCCGUGCUGCAUUAGCUAGUUGGUAAGGUAACGGCUUACAAAGGCAACGAUGCAUAGCCGACCUGAGAGGGUGAUCGGCCACGCUGGAACUGAGACACGGUCCAGACUCCUACGGGAGGCAGCAGUAGGGAAUCUUCCGCAAUGGGCGAAAGCCUGACGGAGCAACGCCGCGUGAGUGAUGAAGGUCUUCGGAUCGUAAAACUCUGUUAUUAGGGAAGAACAUAUGUGUAAGUAACUGUGCACAUCUUGACGGUACCUAAUCAGAAAGCCACGGCUAACUACGUG
RNAcentral lists this ribosomal RNA (497 nucleotides) under uncultured bacterium. RNAcentral's name for it is "partial 16S ribosomal RNA". It matches the Rfam family "Bacterial small subunit ribosomal RNA", at positions 28 to 507 of the family's 1533-position model. The record is from RNAcentral.